GCGGUGUUGAGCCUGGUGACCGGCUGCAGCUCCUGGCGCGGGCUGAACUCGGUUCCGAUGCCGGGCACGGCC
RNAcentral lists this transfer RNA (72 nucleotides) under Mycolicibacterium thermoresistibile. RNAcentral's name for it is "tRNA-Ala(ggc)". Lineage: Bacteria; Bacillati; Actinomycetota; Actinomycetes; Mycobacteriales; Mycobacteriaceae. The record is from RNAcentral.